This is a non-coding RNA of Nematocida sp., 222 nucleotides long. Lineage: Eukaryota; Fungi; Microsporidia. The record is from Rfam.
GGUAGGUGGAAGCUUUCGAUAGAGGUAGAAAUAUCUUUAGGAAGGUCUGAGAGUAGCCAAGCACAGAUUGAAAUGAUCAAAGGGAAACCUUACGUGGCAGCUGACCAGAAAUAGUUCCUGUUCUAGCAACAGUUGAGAUGGCUGCUGCUAGCCGGAUAGUCAAAUCGAAAGGUGGGCCAAUGUGUACGCCCAUAACUUAAUUCAGACUACUCUCCACAUACC